RNAcentral lists this ribosomal RNA (488 nucleotides) under uncultured bacterium. RNAcentral's name for it is "partial 16S ribosomal RNA". It matches the Rfam family "Bacterial small subunit ribosomal RNA", at positions 30 to 506 of the family's 1533-position model. The record is from RNAcentral.
AUUGAACGCUGGCGGCAGGCCUAACACAUGCAAGUCGAACGGUAACAGGAAGAAGCUUGCUUCUUUGCUGACGAGUGGCGGACGGGUGAGUAAUGUCUGGGAAACUGCCUGAUGGAGGGGGAUAACUACUGGAAACGGUAGCUAAUACCGCAUAACGUCGCAAGACCAAAGAGGGGGACCUUCGGGCCUCUUGCCAUCGGAUGUGCCCAGAUGGGAUUAGCUAGUAGGUGGGGUAACGGCUCACCUAGGCGACGAUCCCUAGCUGGUCUGAGAGGAUGACCAGCCACACUGGAACUGAGACACGGUCCAGACUCCUACGGGAGGCAGCAGUGGGGAAUAUUGCACAAUGGGCGCAAGCCUGAUGCAGCCAUGCCGCGUGAUGAAGAAGGCCUUCGGGUUGUAAAGUACUUUCAGCGGGGAGGAAGGGAGUAAAGUUAAUACCUUUGCUCAUUGACGUUACCCGCAGAAGAAACACCGGCUAACUCCGU